Molecule: long non-coding RNA, 664 nt
Organism: Bactrocera dorsalis (oriental fruit fly)
Lineage: Eukaryota; Metazoa; Arthropoda; Insecta; Diptera; Tephritidae
Exons: 4
Source: RefSeq, a predicted model, not a curated record
UUCAGUUUGGGAUCGUGUUUUCCAGCCAUUGUGUAUGAUGGAGUAUUGUCAAGACGAACUUUCUCAGGACAAUAAGCGCCUGGUGCCGGUGUGUCGCUGGGCUUUUGUAAGUUGUGACGACCGCCCAUGGAAUACGCAGGUGCGUGAUCGAAUCUCACCUUCUCAGGACAGUAGUCUCCAGGCGCAGGUGUGUCGUUAUUCGGCUUGGGAUCAUGUUUUCCAGCCAUUGUAUAUGAUGGAGUAUUGUCAAGACGAACUUUCUCAGGACAAUAAGCGCCUGGUGCCGGUGUGUCGCUGGGCUUUUGUAAGUUGUGACGACCACCCAUGGAAUACGCAGGUGUGUGAUCGAGUCUGACCUUCUCCGGACAAUAAUCCCCAGGCGCGGGUGUGUCGUUAUUCAGCUUGGGAUCAUGUUUUCCAGCCAUUGUGUAUGAUGGAGUAUUGUCAAGACGAACUUUCUCAGGACAAUAAGCGCCUGGUGCCGGUGUGUCGCUGGGCUUUUGUAAGUUGUGACGACCACCCAUGGAAUACGCAGGUGUGUGAUCGAGUCUGACCUUCUCAGGACAGUAAUCUCCAGGCGCGGGUGUGUCGUUAUUCAGUUUGGGAUCAUGUUUUCCAGCCAUUGUGUAGGAUGGGGUGUUGUCAAGACGAACUUUCUCAGGAC